Molecule: transfer RNA, 84 nt
Filed under: Deltaproteobacteria bacterium RIFOXYA12_FULL_61_11
Lineage: Bacteria; Deltaproteobacteria
Description: tRNA-Leu
Rfam family: tRNA
About the family: Transfer RNA (tRNA) molecules are approximately 80 nucleotides in length. Their secondary structure includes four short double-helical elements and three loops (D, anti-codon, and T loops).
Source: RNAcentral
GCGAGAGUGUUGGAAUUGGUAGACAAGCUAGACUCAGGAUCUAGUGCUCGCAAGGGCGUGAGGGUUCGAAUCCCUCCUCUCGCA